UCAAAAAAGUUUCAGAUCCUAUUCUAUGAGCCAAAAAGAUUUAUUUUCUCUCCUUUAGGCUAUUUAUAGUUCCCCAAAAAUUAGCCAAAAUUUCAUCAAAUUUCUUAGUUGACAAUGUUUAUCGUUCUCGUCGACUUGUUCUUCUUCUCGCCUUUCUUGAUUUCAGGCUUCAGGUGUUUGAACCACAGUUGGUGAGCACGAUGGAGU
Molecule: long non-coding RNA, 207 nt
Filed under: Solanum tuberosum (potato)
Lineage: Eukaryota; Viridiplantae; Streptophyta; Magnoliopsida; Solanales; Solanaceae
Description: long non-coding RNA (STUB_LNC010793)
Source: RNAcentral